Molecule: ribosomal RNA, 466 nt
Filed under: uncultured bacterium
Lineage: Bacteria
Description: partial 16S ribosomal RNA
Rfam family: Bacterial small subunit ribosomal RNA
Source: RNAcentral
GAUGAACGCUGGCGGCGUGCUUAACACAUGCAAGUCGAACGAUGAAGCCCAGCUUGCUGGGUGGAUUAGUGGCGAACGGGUGAGUAACACGUGAGUAACCUGCCCUUAACUCUGGGAUAAGCCUGGGAAACUGGGUCUAAUACCGGAUAGGAGCGUCCACCGCAUGGUGGGUGUUGGAAAGAUUUAUCGGUUUUGGGUGGACUCGCGGCCUAUCAGCUUGUUGGUGAGGUAAUGGCUCACCAAGGCGACGACGGGUAGCCGGCCUGAGAGGGUGACCGGCCACACUGGGACUGAGACACGGCCCAGACUCCUACGGGAGGCAGCAGUGGGGAAUAUUGCACAAUGGGCGCAAGCCUGAUGCAGCGACGCCGCGUGAGGGAUGACGGCCUUCGGGUUGUAAACCUCUUUCAGUAGGGAAGAAGCGAAAGUGACGGUACCUGCAGAAGAAGCACCGGCUAACUACGUG